This is a long non-coding RNA of Ictalurus punctatus (channel catfish), 407 nucleotides long. The record is from Ensembl. NCBI's taxonomy places the organism in Eukaryota, Metazoa, Chordata, Actinopteri, Siluriformes, Ictaluridae.
GCCUCACUGACUGCAUCAUGGUCGAAACCCCGCCACUUCCUUUCGUUGCUAUGGACUACAGAGACUGUGUGCAUGUGCGGAGUGCCGUCAAGGCUCCCGUCUGUGUGGCCUGGCAGUUUAAAGUCGUCCCGGUCGGAGCGCCUGCUGCUGCUGUCACAGCUAUUAAAGAAGCCAUCAUAUGAUUUUCCUAUGUGCCAUCGUGAGUAUUAUGUCAUCAGAUCACGGAGCUGAGUGCUUCCUUGUGUUUCUUUUAUUUGACCAAUGCCUGACUGCGUUGGUUGCUGUUUUAUUAUUGUUAUUAUUAUUAUGAUUAUUAUAAUUAUUAUAAUUAUUGUUAUUAUUAUUAUUAUUGGCCAGUCUUUUUAACUUCAAAUAAAAGUUAUUUUUGUAUAACCCAUGCCUCUUGC